Molecule: long non-coding RNA, 2626 nt
Organism: Lycium ferocissimum
Lineage: Eukaryota; Viridiplantae; Streptophyta; Magnoliopsida; Solanales; Solanaceae
Exons: 2
Source: RefSeq, a predicted model, not a curated record
GCACCGCCCAGCGACAUAGCCCAGCGCACAGUGGGCACCGCCCAGCGACAUAGCCCAGCGCACAGUGGCAUAUGCCCAGCGACAUAGCCCAACGCAUGGUGGCAUAGGCCACUGCCCAGCGACAUAGCCCAACGCACAUGGCAUAUGCCCAGCGACAUACCCCAACGCAUGGUGGCAUAGGCCACUGCCCAGCGACAUAGCCCAACGCACAGUGGCCACUGCCCAGCGACAUCGGCCAGCACCCAAGGACACUAGGCCACUGCCCAGCGACAUAGCCCAACGCACAGUGGCCACUGCCCAGCGACAUCGGCCAGCACCCAAGGACACUAGGCCACGUCCAGCGACAUAGCCCCUCGGCUUAGUUGAUCGAACAUGGGAUGGGCGUGUUAAGGGAUUUACAUGAUGGACCCUUGCACGACGCUAUGACGGUUUUAGGAUCAUGUAGCGGCCAGGCCGCCCGACACCAGCGUGGGCGUGUGGCCAGAUUGGCCGACACGGGCGUGGGCGUGUGGCCAGAUUGGCCGACACGGGCGUGGGCGGUUGGCCAGAGUGGCCGACACGGGCGUAGGCGUGCGGCCACACUGGCCGACACGGGCGUGGGCGUGUGGCCAGAGUGGCCGACACGGGCGUAGGCGUGUGGCCACACUGGCCGACACGGGUGUAGGCGUGCGGCCACACUGGCCGACAUGGGCGCUGGCGUGUGCGGCCCAAGACAUGGGGUGCGGCACUAUGGCGUGUGGCUUAGGUGUCAAGACAUGGCAAGACCAUGGGGCAUAGGCAUGGUCAUGGCAAGGCAAGGGCAAGGCAACGCACGGGGCUAAGGCAAGGGCAAGGCAACGCACGGGGCUAAGGCAUGGCAUGGCACGGGACCAUCCGGCGUGCACCACUUCACCACGGGUCGCGCACCACAUCACCAUCCGUCGAUGUACCAAUGCACGUGUCCUCGGUUUGACAACAUACAUUCUCGAUGCAAAAAACUCAAAAGAACGUACGCUACGGAAAAUCAAGCCAUGUUUCUUGGUUUACAUGUGCCCAACCAAGAGCUUGGGGCAUAUGCAUCUUCUAGUCCCCGAGUCUAUUCUCAACGCUUCCAUUAAAGUUCAAUACCCAAUUAUCAUGUUCUUGCAUCUCCCUCACCUUUCUAUGUUACUUUGACAACGUUUUUAUAUUUUACGUAUUUUUUUUUUAAUUUUUCAUUGAUUUUAUGUAUUUUCUUGGAUUUUAAUAUAUUAUAUGUAACAUUAUUUGUACAAAUUUAUAGUGCAUUAUGUAUUUGAAGGUUGUUUGAUGCGUUGGGAAUUUUUUCCUAAAGUUUUUAUAUUUUUCCUACAUUUUUCUAUUAUUUUAUGUAUUUAUUAUAUAUUUUUUGAAUUAAUAAAUUAAUAUUCAAAAAAAAUAUUUUUUUUAUGAAAACUAUUAUUUACAAUGCUUAUAAGUCAUUUGUGAAUGCAUUAGAUGAGUUGUACACUAGAAUGUGCACAUUGGGGUUGUACGGGUUUUGUAUGAUUCUCUGGCAAAACCAUGUCUACUACUGACACUUGGGUUUUUUUUUUUAAAGCAUAUAUAAGGGGGGUAGAGGUGUUGAGGGCACUUCAAGGUGACUGACGCUGGGCGAGGCGUGCGGGCAGCGGGCGUGUGGGCGUGUAGUAGUGUGGGCACAUGGUGUCAUGCAUGGCUAGUCCGUGCUACGACACCGGCGUGCCGUCACGAAAAACGCCGACGACGACCCGGUGCGCGCCCGUAGUAGGCCGGCGGUGGCACAGGUCGCGGGGGCUGUCGGCCAAUGACGGGACGAAGGCGGUGCCUUGGUGUGGUGCGGCGAGUUCUAGGCGCUGGCCCUUGGGGCCGGCUCCCGGGGCGAGCUGCGCGCACGGGGCUAAGCCAGCGACCCGUCGGGCGCCGUCGGCCCGUCGCGGGCUGUGCCCGUGCAGGCAGCUUGGGGGGCCUUCUCCGCCUCAGUGGGCUCGGACGCCCCCCUCGGGCGGGGCGUGGGUUUUCGUGUCUAGCGGGGCUUGCUUUGGCCUUGCGACGCUGGCAUGGGCAGCAGCGCGCGGCAUCUGAUGUCGUGCGCUGGGGCCUGCGUUCGGCGCGCGCGGCUGAAGCAUGGGGACGCACGGCGCGUGAGUGGUGUUCGGCUUGUGCGGUUAGGUUGGAUCCCUGCUUGAGCAGCGACGUCCUAGCCCGCAGGCCAUGUCGGUCGCGGGGCAAGCGCUGCUUAGGCUUGCCGGGAGUCGGUUCCUGUGCUGCAUACCUAAUGCCCCGGCAUUACCACGUGCGAUAAGUUGCCUUUCGCCCCUCGCGCUCGGCGCGCGGGGUGAACCACAAGCUGCCGUCGCGUCCCCCGUCGCCCUCGCUUCGUCGUGCGGUGGCGUGGUGCGCGGCCGGCAGUUCGGGCUCUCGGAUUCGGUAGACGCAGUGGGCAUGGGGGUCUUCGUUGCCCCCUAUCUGCCCGGACGAAUGCUCCUUGCGAACGACGGUCGUGCUCGCCUCGGCCCCGUCCGCGCCCUUCGGGGCCGGCCGGGCUCGUGCGACGCCGGCGUCUAUGAGGAAUGCUACCUGGUUGAUCCUGCCAGUAGUCAUAUGCUUGUCUCAAAGAUUAAGCCAUGCAUGUGUAAGUAUGAACAAA